UUGGAGGGCAAGUCUGGUGCCAGCAGCCGCGGUAAUUCCAGCUCCAAUAGCGUAUAUUAAAGUUGUUGCAGUUAAAAAGCUCGUAGUUGAAUUUCGGGAUCAAUGUUUCGGUCAUGCCGUUGGUAUGUACUGAUAUUAUUGGUUUCUCACCUUCUAAAGAACCGUAAUGCCAUUAAUUUGGUGUCACGGGGAAUUAGGACUGUUACCUUGAAAAAAUUAGAGUGUUUAAAGCAGGCUCACGCUUGAAUACAUUAGCAUGGAAUAAUGAAAUAGGACUUCCGAUUCUAUUUUGUUGGUUUCUAGGAUCGAUGUAAUGAUUAAUAGGGACAGUUGGGGGCAUUAGUAUUCAAUUGUCAGAGGUGAAAUUCUUGGAUUUAUUGAAGACUAACUACUGCGAAAGCAUUUGCCAAGGAUGUUUUCAUUAAUCAAGAACGAAAGUUAGGGGAUCGAAGACGAUCAGAUACCGUCGUAGUCUUAACCAUAAACUAUGCCGACUAGGGAUCGGAUGAUGUUAAUUUUUUAAUGACUCAUUCGGCACCUUACGGGAAACCAAAG
RNAcentral lists this ribosomal RNA (555 nucleotides) under uncultured Glomus. RNAcentral describes it as "SSU rRNA". It matches the Rfam family "Eukaryotic small subunit ribosomal RNA", at positions 548 to 1103 of the family's 1831-position model. Lineage: Eukaryota; Fungi; Glomeromycota; Glomeromycetes; Glomerales; Glomeraceae. The record is from RNAcentral.